UACGUAGGUGGCAAGCGUUAUCCGGAUUUAUUGGGUUUAAAGGGAGCGUAGGCGGUUUUGUAAGUCAGUGGUGAAAGACGGUCGCUCAACGAUCGCAUUGCCAUUGAUACUGCAAGGCUAGAGUACAGUAGAGGUGGGCGGAAUUUAUGGUGUAGCGGUGAAAUGCAUAGAUACCAUAAAGAACACCGAUUGCGUAGGCAGCUCACUGGACUGUAACUGACGCUGAGGCUCGAAAGUGUGGGUAUCAAACAGG
Molecule: ribosomal RNA, 253 nt
Filed under: uncultured bacterium
Lineage: Bacteria
Description: partial 16S ribosomal RNA
Rfam family: Bacterial small subunit ribosomal RNA
Source: RNAcentral